RNAcentral lists this small RNA (134 nucleotides) under Brevibacillus parabrevis. Its description in RNAcentral is "c-di-AMP sequence". It matches the Rfam family "c-di-AMP riboswitch aptamer (ydaO/yuaA leader)". From Rfam's summary of the family: This family represents a conserved RNA structure found upstream of the ydaO and yuaA genes in Bacillus subtilis and related genes in other bacteria. The ydaO/yuaA element is thought to act as a genetic "off" switch for the ydaO and yuaA genes in its native state. Lineage: Bacteria; Bacillati; Bacillota; Bacilli; Caryophanales; Paenibacillaceae. The record is from RNAcentral.
AUCGAAAAAUAGCCGAAUUCCGCAUGUCGGAAACGGGGGAACCAGUUUUUUGGGGUGAAUAGUUGCGUUAGGCAACUUAGGGCGUCCUUUCGACCGAACCCUUCAGCUAACUUCGUAGGCUCACGAAAGGAGCA